AUUUGUUCUUCAUUAUAACUGCCGAGACUACCCAGAGUCAUUCACAGAUGAUUUCAUAGAGGUGGUUCGUGCAGCAUCAGUCGGAGACAGGGCUACUGUUCUGCAGAAAUCUGAAGUUCCUUACUGGUUUUGAAGCCAAGGCCUUCGAGGAUGCACACUUAGAGGCAGUUAUGAUCCUCGGCGAAGCGUUUGCUUCUACUGAAGCGUUUGACUUUGGCACUCAGAGUACCACACAGCACAUCCAGAGCCUGAUCCCUGUCAUGCUUCGACACCGUCUCACUCCUCCGCCAGAGGAGUCUUACUCUCUGCACCGCAAAAUG
Sinocyclocheilus rhinocerous is the source of this 320-nucleotide long non-coding RNA. RefSeq lists it as uncharacterized. The record is from RefSeq and is a predicted model, not a curated record. The transcript is spliced from 3 exons. NCBI's taxonomy places the organism in Eukaryota, Metazoa, Chordata, Actinopteri, Cypriniformes, Cyprinidae.